This is a non-coding RNA of Pelosinus fermentans B4, 88 nucleotides long. The record is from Rfam. Lineage: Bacteria; Bacillati; Bacillota; Negativicutes; Selenomonadales; Sporomusaceae.
UAGAAUUAUAAGCAAACCUGCCGAAAGUCAGGGACGCAAAGCCUUGGGUCUAACGAUACAAUUGUUCUAUGACUGCCAGGUUGCAUCA